Molecule: ribosomal RNA, 493 nt
Filed under: uncultured bacterium
Lineage: Bacteria
Description: partial 16S ribosomal RNA
Rfam family: Bacterial small subunit ribosomal RNA
Source: RNAcentral
AUUGAACGCUGGCGGCAUGCUUUACACAUGCAAGUCGAACGGCAGCGGGGAGGAGCUUGCUUCUCUGCCGGCGAGUGGCGAACGGGUGAGUAAUACAUCGGAACGUGUCGAGAAGAGGGGGAUAACCACCCGAAAGGGUGGCUAAUACCGCAUAAAUUCUGAGGAAGAAAGCUGGGGACCUAGGAAUAGGCCUAGCGCUUUUUGAGCGGCCGAUGUCGGAUUAGCUAGUUGGUGAGGUAAAGGCUCACCAAGGCGAAGAUCUGUAGCGGGUCUGAGAGGAUGAUCCGCCACACUGGGACUGAGACACGGCCCAGACUCCUACGGGAGGCAGCAGUGGGGAAUUUUGGACAGUGGGGGCAACCCUGAUCCAGCCAUGCCGCGUGUAUGAAGAAGGCCUUAGGGUUGUAAAGUACUUUUGUUAGGGAAGAAAAGUCAGCUGUGAAUAAUGGCUGAUACUGACGGUACCUAAAGAAUAAGCACCGGCUAACUACGU